GAUGAACGCUGGCGGCGUGCCUAAUACAUGCAAGUCGAGCGAACAGACGAGGAGCUUGCUCCUCUGACGUUAGCGGCGGACGGGUGAGUAACACGUGGAUAACCUACCUAUAAGACUGGGAUAACUUCGGGAAGCCGGAGCUAAUACCGGAUAAUAUAUUGAACCGCAUGGUUCAAUAGUGAAGGACGGUUUUGCUGUCACUUAUAGAUGGAUCCGCGCCGCAUUAGCUAGUUGGUAAGGUAACGGCUUACCAAGGCGACGAUGCGUAGCCGACCUGAGAGGGUGAUCGGCCACACUGGAACUGAGACACGGUCCAGACUCCUACGGGAGGCAGCAGUAGGGAAUCUUCCGCAAUGGGCGAAAGCCUGACGGAGCAACGCCGCGUGAGUGAUGAAGGUCUUCGGAUCGUAAAACUCUGUUAUUAGGGAAGAACAAAUGUGUAAGUAACUAUGCACGUCUUGACGGCACCUAAUCAGAAAGCCACGGCUAACUACGUG
RNAcentral lists this ribosomal RNA (497 nucleotides) under uncultured bacterium. Its description in RNAcentral is "partial 16S ribosomal RNA". It matches the Rfam family "Bacterial small subunit ribosomal RNA", at positions 28 to 507 of the family's 1533-position model. The record is from RNAcentral.